This 86-nucleotide non-coding RNA is filed under the name Pseudomonas sp. GV085. The record is from RNAcentral. Lineage: Bacteria; Pseudomonadati; Pseudomonadota; Gammaproteobacteria; Pseudomonadales; Pseudomonadaceae.
CUACAUGGUGGCCAUGCACAGGGCGCCUUCGGGCGCGCCGGUCUCCUUGUACCCGGUCUACCAACCUGCGUAUGGCCACCACCCGU